RNAcentral lists this ribosomal RNA (305 nucleotides) under uncultured bacterium. RNAcentral describes it as "bacterial SSU rRNA". It matches the Rfam family "Bacterial small subunit ribosomal RNA", at positions 337 to 639 of the family's 1533-position model. The record is from RNAcentral.
CCCUACGGGAGGCAGCAGUGAGGAAUAUUGGUCAAUGGUCGGGAGACUGAACCAGCCAAGCCGCGUGAGGGAUGAAGGUACAGAGUAUCGUAAACCUCUUUUGUCAGGGAACAAAGGCGGGGACGUGUCCCCGGAUGAGUGUACCUGAAGAAAAAGCAUCGGCUAACUCCGUGCCAGCAGCCGCGGUAAUACGUAGGGGGCAAGCGUUAUCCGGAUUUACUGGGUGUAAAGGGAGCGUAGACGGUACGCCAAGUCUGAAGUGAAAUGCCGCAGCUUAACUGCGGAACUGCUUUGGAAACUGGCGG